UUUUUCAAAAAAUCACCUUUAUUUUUCUUGAAAAUCGUACGUCCUCCAAUUUGCUUCCUAGUCAUUUUUCAAAAAUAGUCUAUUCAAUUUUCAAAAAACGAUUAUUUUUCAGAAAACCACCCGCUGUUCCUUAUAACCGAACAUUUUUCAACCUAUUUCCCAGUGAUUUUCCAAAAUAUGAAAAUGAUUUUCUGAAAUGAAACUUCAAACAGAUUUUAUGAAGUUUACCUCAAAACCUUCGUUUUUGCUCUGUUUCAUCCCAAAUCAAUACUAACAACUCCAAAACUUUCCAACUUUAUUUUAAUCACAUCUAACAUGAUCUCUAACCUUACUUUUCCUAUUUGGUCAAAGUUCAGUGUAUUGUAACGAAAUUCAGUAUAUUACACAGCUAGCUCAUCUACAUUACAAAUUUUGAUGACCAGUCCAUAAUUAACAAUGUCUGUGCAAAAUUUCUUUGGACUAAAAUCCUUACCUUAGUCCCUCCAAAAAACUCAAACGCCGAAGAUGACUUUAUAGUACUACAGGUUGUUAUUACUAAUAAGCAAUACUAUCAGCAUACUUUAAGUAGGUGUAAACCUUACACCUAACUCAUUCAGGAGCUUUUAUUCCCUACUAAUUUUAUUAACUAUUUUUUUAUUAAAAGCUCAUGUAAUUUUUGUAAAUCUUAUAAUGAUGGAGACGUAAGAUUUACACCUAUGCAUGCAUACAGAGAUAGCAUUUCUUUUUUUCUUGUCCUAAUAUAGUACCCAACUUAGGGCCUGUUUGUUUCAUUGUAAGUGGGAAAGGGGGAAGUGAUUUUUAGCAAAAAUUGAUCACUUCCACUACUUGUUCACCGUAAUAUUAUUACGGUUGAAAGUUCAGUUCACUCAAAACACCGAAUUGGCUUUGCUCUUCCAUAGGGCGAAGUUAAUUCCGGUGAAGUGAAGGAAAAGAGAAUGAAAACUUAAUUACGGUGAUGUUUUAGGGUUACUCUCUCAUAGGGUGAAGUGAAGGAAUGUUUUUUUUUUUUUUUUUAAUUUAUAUGCACUACAAAAAUAUAAUUAAUAACAUGAGAAAUGCUAGUUGUAUUUCAUCCAAAUAUAUUUAAUUGUGAAAGUAAUUAAUUUUUUAUUUAGAUAGAUUACAUGUUUCUAAUAUGAUGAAGUUUGGUUAGUUAAGUUUCAAUAUAUCUUUUAUUUAAUUUGCAUAUUUGAAAAAUGAUAAAAAUUAAUUUGUUAAAUGUUAAUAAUUCUUUAACUUUAAAAUUUUAUUUAUUGCAUUAUUAUAAUUUAUAUAUGAAAAAAUUAAUAUAAUUAUUUUAAAUUUUAUUUUAUAAUUGUAUAGACAUAUAAUUACAUUGUUUUUUAUUUAUUAUAACUUAUUAUUUAUUAACUUAGAAAAGAGAUAAUAAUAUUACGUAGGAGGUAAGUUUACCAUAGGUGUGGGGAUUGAAUAAUUUUCAAUGAAACAAAUAGAGGAAGUGAAGAGCUGCAUAUUUUACGUUAUUCACUUCCUGCUAACACAACAUGUUUGUUUCACUGGAACUGGAUUUUGGAUUGAAGUGGAGUUCGGUGGAAACUAUUUCUUUUCCGCUGUUUGUUUCGUAGUUAUGGAAGUGAAGUUUCAUUAGUUCUACUGUUUGUUUGGUAAGAAGUGUAUGGUGUAAAACUAUAAUUUAUGUAUAAAUAAUAAAUAAUUUAAUAAAUAAAAAUAAUAUAAUUAUAUUUUUAUAUAAUUAAAAUUUAAUUUAAAAUAAUUAUAUUAUUUUUUAUAUUUAAAUUAUAGUAAUUCAACAAUAAAAUAUUAAAGUAAAAAUAAUCAAUUUUUAUCAUAUUUUAAAUAUACAAACUAAAUAAAAAAUAUUAAAACUUAAUUAAUCAAUUUUUAUCAUAUUUUAAAUAUGUAAAUUGAAUAAAAAUAUUAAAACUUAACUAAUCAAUUUUUAUCAUAUUUUAANUGUACAAACUAAAUAAAGAAAAUAUUAAAACUUAACUAAUCAAUUUUUAUCAUAUUUUAAAUAUAUCAACUGAAUAAAAGAGUAAUUAGUAUCAUAAUUAAAUAUAUUUAAAUAUAAUUAUCUUUACCUAAUAUAUUAUUUUAUUAUUUUUUCUUCACCACUCUUCACCGUAAUUGACUUCGGCCUACGAUGGGCCGAAGUCAAUUACGUCAUUUCAGGUUAACUCGAGUUUCGACCGUAACUUAUUUACGGCGAGCCAAACAACGAAACUGAUCAUUUAUGACGAAAACAACUUUCCUCCUCUCCACUUCCACCCCACUUCCACCCAAACAAACAUGCCAAGCAGAACUGACAGAACUUCACUUCCAUAGCUAAAAACAAAUAGCGGAGGUGAAGUAGUUUUCACCAUAAUUAGUUAUUUCGGAUUCGGCAAAAAAUCGGUAUGGAUAUAAUUCGAAUAAAAUUUGUAUUUUAAUUUUCAAAUUCGUUGAAAAUUACGGCUUAAAAAAUGGAAAUGCGAUUUAUACGGAUAUUAUACGUUCACCAAAUAACAAUUCGGGGUAAAAAAUUCGGCUAUUAAACUAAGAUUUUUCUCUAGAUUUAUGCUACCAGCAUACAUAGUUAUAAAUUCUUAAAAUUAUAAAAAAAUUACAAAAUAAAGUAGAUUAAGUAAAAAAAUUAAUAGCAAAUUUUAUUGUCAUCUCCACUUUCAUCUUUUUCAUGAUCCAUAUAUUUCGGAAGUUUAUGAAGUUUGUCAAUAAUUCGUAAAUAAUUCGGUAAUAAUUUGGCAAUAAUUCGGAAAUAAAUUUUAUCCAAAAAAUUUGGGCCUUUUUUUUUGGCCGAAUAGUCCCACGUACACGAAUUUUUCCAGAAUAAUAAAUCUAUCUGAAAAAUUCACGUAUUAUUUUGGUUUUUUUGGGAAUAAAUCGUAUACGAACUGUUUUAUUCAAAUUUUCAAUAAUUCGCGAAUAAUUCAUGAAUAAUUUGCGAAUUAACCAACUAUGAUUUUCACAUGGACUCUAGUCUAACCAAAAGUUCACUUCAACACAAAGUUUAGUUACGUUGAAACAAGCAGGGUUAG
This 3017-nucleotide long non-coding RNA is filed under the name Ananas comosus (pineapple). Its description in RNAcentral is "long non-coding RNA (ACOM_LNC008782)". Lineage: Eukaryota; Viridiplantae; Streptophyta; Magnoliopsida; Poales; Bromeliaceae. The record is from RNAcentral.